ACAUUACUGAAACUUCUUGGUAGGAACAUGAUGAGUUUCUCCCCACAAAUUCACCCAUCCACAUUCUCUUUUUAUUUUUAUUUAUUUAUUUGAGGAAGAUUGGCCCUGAGCUAACAUCUGUUACCAAUCGUCCUGUUUUGCUUGAGGAAGACUGUCACUGAGCUAACAUCUGUGCCAAUCCUCCUUUAUUUUAUGUGAGAUGCUGCCACAGCAUGGCUUGACAUUAUCUUUGUUUUGUCUAGUAACUUUGAUAAUUUCUUUUCCCUGUAGCUAACUGAUACAUUAAAAAACAACUAUAAAAUCCUGUCAGGGCUGGCCCCUGUGGCCUAGUAGUUGGGUUCAUGGGCUCCGCUUUGGUGGCCCCGGCGUUUCACCGGUUCGGAUCCUGGGUGGGGACAUGGCACCGCUCGUUGGGUCAUGCUGAGGCAGUGUCCCACAUACCACAACUAGAAGGACCCACAAGUGAAAAAAUAUGCAAGUAUGUACUGGGGGGGAUUUGGGGAGAAGAAGAAGAAGAAAAAAAAAAACAGAAAAUUGAAGGGUUUGAAUAAAAUAAACUUUACCUUGAGUAAAAAAACUUUUAAAAAUUACAACUCAUGACUUUCUCAGAGACUUGGGAUAAGCUUUGUCCUGGAAAUUGAAGAGGACCAGGAAGCAGGAAUCUAUUAACCUUCAUUUCUUAUUUAUUUUUAGUAAACGGAAGUAAAAUUGAGACCCUCUGGUCUCUAGGAGAUAUGAGUGAGGAUGUGUGACCAGUUCUCUAUGACAGCUGAGCCUCAUGUUACAUUUCUAUUCUUAAUAUAUAAAAAUUAUUUCUUGUAGAACAAAUCUAUAGGGAAAUAAGGAAAAUAAAAUACAGCACAUUCUCUUUUGGCAAAGAAAUGCUUAUGUGUUUAAAACAAAUUAACUUUUUAAGGCAGCUCUGAAGAAGUAAUUUAUUUUAAAUAGGUGAACAGUUUACAGCUCUUGUGGGAACACUUUUUCCUGACUUUUCUUCAUCAUAGGAUUAGGCCCUAUGUUUUUAAUUUAAGUCCUUUAAUUUUUGCUGUUAACAUUUAAUUUACUUGAUGACCCCAUACUGUUAACUUUUGACCCAGUGAACUCAGGAUGGUAUAUACAGACCAUAUACCUAAUUUUAAAGAAACUCUUAAAGGAAAAUAAGAGGUUUGAUGUGAAACAGAUUAAAUUCAUUCAGCUUUCCAUGUAGGGAAGUAUCAUACAUACUUAAUCAAAGAACUUUUUUCUUCUUUGGGAGGAUGCAUUUUUAUAAGCAUGGUAUUUUUUUACAAUUAGAUGUUUAUGCCAUUGGCAAAACAUUCCAAAGCUGAUGUGACUCUAACUGCAAUACUUUUAAUAAACUGCAAAACUACUAACAUAGUAUGGUAUGUACCAAACCUUUUCCUGACAAGAAAUUCUUGUACCAUAUGGCUAAAUCUAAUGAUCCCCCCAUCUACCCUUAUUUAUACUCAAAUUUCCUUUCCUUUUAUAGGAAUUGAAAUUCCUAAAGAGUUUAAUCCUUUAGAUGUAAAAACUGUUAGGACAUACAGUUAAUUAUGAUAAAGUUCAAAGCUGCUUCUAAGUCAUUCAAUGUAAGAUACAUAACUUUUAUUUGUCCUUCAAACUAGACCUGUGGACUCACUUUUGAACAUUUCUCCCUAAUUAUAAAACACACGUGCAUUAAAGAAAAUAGAAAAAAAAUAAGGAAUGAUUGGAAGGCAUUGCUUCUGAAGUCCCCUUAACAAUAUACCACUUUCUUCCUUCUUCCCAGUUGACAAAGGAAGGCUCUGUCUAGAAUGACUCUUUAGUCCCUUACUUGCUUGUAGAAUACAAUAGUAGUAUAAUUAACCAGGAUAGAGACAUACGGAGGAAGAAUAGGGCUUUUGGGUGUGUGUGUUUGUGUGUCUAAGGGUGUGGGAUGGAAAAACUGGAAAAGGGGAGGAAGAUGAGACGCCCAAUGAGGACAUACUGAAUAUGGAAGAUUAAGUGCCAAUGGGAUAGCUUUGUAGAGAUGUUCGGUAGGGAGCACAACAUAUAUGUCUGAGGCUUAGAAAGGCCUGGGCUGGAAGGAGAUAUCACUAAAGAGGUGAUAGUUGAAAUUAUGGAGGAAAUGGAUGCUAUUGCUCAUACAGACUGAAUAUAGUGAGAGGAAAUGAGAACCAACAUUAGUAAAUAGGCAAAGUAAGAGGAGGCAGCAAAAGAACUGAGAAGAAAUAGCAGCCAAUGGGACGGAGGAUUCAGAAGGAAAGAAGUCAGGAGUGUCAAGAUAAAGACAGGUCAAAUAAAUUGAAAAAGAUCAUGGCAUUUGGCAAUUUUGUAAUUAGUAAUGUUUGCCAGAACACUUUCAUUGCAUUGAGGUGGCAGAAUUUUGUUUGUGUUGGGGUGAAAAGUAUAUUAAAAUUGAGAAAGGUUACAAUAGAUUUAUAUUAUUUCAAAGCUCUUCAUUUCUUCUUCAAAAUAGAAAUAAAGGAUGAUAGUUGUGAGGAGGUGGUUACAGAAUCGAGGAGGAGAUUCUACAGUGAAGAGUUUAAUAUAUUUAUAAAAUGUGGGAAAGAGUGAGCAGAGAGGAGAUUAAAAAGAGGAGGGAUAAAAGUAAAGCAAGAUCUCUAGGAGAGGAAGCAAUGUAGGAGGAAAGGUGCAGGUAGAGGAUUGACCUGGGAAAAGAGAAAGGAUACUUCUUCCUCUGAGAUUAGAAGGAAGGAAGUGAAGAUAGUUAUAUGUAUAACGUGUAAAUGUGGAGCAAGAAGGUGAGGGAGGUUCAUGGCUGAUAGUAUUGAUUUUUUUUGCUGAUAAAGGAGACAUAAAAAAGAUAAGGGUAUAGGUGAAAUAGCAAGUUUGAAUUGAUGUAAGAUGUUAUAAAAUAUAUGCUCUAAGGAAGAGGGAAUUAUCCAGGGAGCAUGGUUAUUAGCAGGAGAGACUGAUGCACCUAGGAAUCUAGGCUGGAUAGGAAAAGAUAUGAAGCUGUGUGGGAGAUUGUGGUUUGAAAACAAAAGGGAAUAGUUGAGGAGUGGAGGUUAAAAUAAGGUAAGAAAGCAGGUGUUUAGGGAGUAAUGGAGUGAUAAAAACUGGAAUGGUAAGUGGUUGUGGUCAGAGAUCAGUAUAUUGGAGUCUAAGGCUGUGGAACAAUUAAUUUCCUGCUCAUUAUUUUGAAUAAGUAUUCAUGUUGAAUAAGUAUUUCUAAGAAUGUUGGGUUUUUCUUAUUACAGGCAAUUGAUACUAAAGAAGAUACAAAUGAGAAAGAUGUAGAAAAAAAUUAAUAAUCCUACACCCACAAAUAACCACUAACUCCAUUAUUAAAUUUUCAUAUCUGUUCAUAUAUAUAUAUAUUUCCUAGAAAUAAGUAUUCAGCUAUAUAAUAUACUUUAAUGGCUGAAUAAGUAUUCUAUUAUAGAAUAUAAGGAUGUACUGUUAAUUUUAGCAGUUUCUUAUUUGGGGGUAUUAGUAAUCAGUAUUAGUAUUAGUAAUCAGUAAUCACUGAUUCUAACCAAUUUUUUUCUACUGGUAAUAGGAAAAAUCUAAUAGAUUAGAUUUUAGUAAGCAAGUUAAAUUUUUGGCUUAUUUUUUUCCUUAGGAUAUAGUCUUAGAAGUGGAUUUUUUGGUAGGGUCUUCAUAGUGAGCCUGUUUAUUUUUAUUUUAGGCCUAUUUCUAACAGGCUUAUUUAUGUGCAUUCUUAUUCUAUCCCGGAUUGGAAUCAGAAAAUUGGACAGUGUUGCAGGUACUCAUUGAUGCAGGCCUACCAGCAGCCACAAAAGUGAGAACUGGUAAGUAAAAGUCCUUCUUCACGGGAAUAAUGAUAGGUGUUUUAAAAACUUGGAAUCAAGUACACUUUUCAUGAGCACAGUAAAAAAAUGAUUCAUGAACUAAAUAACAGGACAUAGUGGUCAAUUCAGAAAUACAUUUCAAAUUAAAUAGAAACCUCUAUGAAUAAUCUAUAUUUGUUGACAGCAUCCAAUUUUAGCAGAGGUUUUAAUAAAUCAUGAAUAAUCAUCAAGGUUACUGCUCCUCAAACUUUCACAAAAGUGUGGAUAAUAGCAGAGAAGAAUGAAUAAUUGCCCUAGAAGCUUGGUUCCAAGCUAGGAUUUUCUUUAGUUUCAUGUUUUGUCUUACAUUUAAUAUAAAUGUUGCAUUAUAUAUCAUAAUAGUCCUAUGUUUAGUAUGAAUAUAAUGCUUAUAAACUUUUUCAAAAUAUCUGAGUAGAAUUGAUAUCUAAGAAGAUGCUUCGUGUUUAUUCAGUGCCUUUUAACACCGUGGCAUAGCACAAAUUUCUCUUGCCCUAAGCUGGACUUUUAGAGGCAAGGUUCUAGGCUGUUUCAUGAUUGUAUAAUAUGUUCCUUUUCAGUUUUCUCUUCUACAGUUUAGCCAAGGCUAUUUAUAGUAGUGUAUGGCAGGGAGUAGAUUAAUUGAUGCUUACCCACUUUGAACCUGAGAGUGUCACAGAGUGAAAAUUCAGUAUCAUUGCCAACAGAAUACACUACAAGAAAUGUUGAAGAAAGAGCUUCAGACAGAAGGGAAAUGAUACCAUUUGGAAAUACAGAUCUACACA
Equus caballus (horse) is the source of this 4540-nucleotide long non-coding RNA. Lineage: Eukaryota; Metazoa; Chordata; Mammalia; Perissodactyla; Equidae. The record is from Ensembl.